CACGUAGGGUGCGAGCGUUGUCCGGAAUUAUUGGGCGUAAAGAGCUCGUAGGCGGUGUGUCGCGUCGGCCGUGAAAACCUGCAGCUCAACUGUGGGCUUGCGGUCGAUACGGGCAUCACUGGAGUUCGGCAGGGGAGACUGGAAUUCCUGGUGUAGCGGUGAAAUGCGCAGAUAUCAGGAGGAACACCGGUGGCGAAGGCGGGUCUCUGGGCCGAUGACUGACGCUGAGGAGCGAAAGCCAGGGGAGCAAACGGG
Molecule: ribosomal RNA, 255 nt
Filed under: uncultured bacterium
Lineage: Bacteria
Description: partial 16S ribosomal RNA
Rfam family: Bacterial small subunit ribosomal RNA
Source: RNAcentral